AUGGCUCAGAUUGAACGCUAGCGGGAUGCCUUACACAUGCAAGUCGAACGGCAGCACGGACUUCGGUCUGGUGGCGAGUGGCGAACGGGUGAGUAAUGUAUCGGAACGUGCCUAGUAGCGGGGGAUAACUACGCGAAAGCGUAGCUAAUACCGCAUACGCCCUACGGGGGAAAGCAGGGGAUCGCAAGACCUUGCACUAUUAGAGCGGCCGAUAUCGGAUUAGCUAGUUGGUGGGGUAACGGCUCACCAAGGCGACGAUCCGUAGCUGGUUUGAGAGGACGACCAGCCACACUGGGACUGAGACACGGCCCAGACUCCUACGGGAGGCAGCAGUGGGGAAUUUUGGACAAUGGGGGAAACCCUGAUCCAGCCAUCCCGCGUGUGCGAUGAAGGCCUUCGGGUUGUAAAGCACUUUUGGCAGGAAAGAAACGUCAUGGGUUAAUACCCCGUGAAACUGACGGUACCUGCAGAAUAAGCACCGGCUAACUACGUGCCAGCAGCCGCGGUAAUACGUAGGGUGCAAGCGUUAAUCGGAAUUACUGGGCGUAAAGCGUGCGCAGGCGGUUCGGAAAGAAAGAUGUGAAAUCCCAGAGCUUAACUUUGGAACUGCAUUUUUAACUACCGAGCUAGAGUGUGUCAGAGGGAGGUGGAAUUCCGCGUGUAGCAGUGAAAUGCGUAGAUAUGCGGAGGAACACCGAUGGCGAAGGCAGCCUCCUGGGAU
This 721-nucleotide ribosomal RNA is filed under the name Achromobacter sp. 110602_136_C_A11. RNAcentral's name for it is "bacterial SSU rRNA". It matches the Rfam family "Bacterial small subunit ribosomal RNA", at positions 19 to 735 of the family's 1533-position model. Lineage: Bacteria; Pseudomonadati; Pseudomonadota; Betaproteobacteria; Burkholderiales; Alcaligenaceae. The record is from RNAcentral.